UUUAAAUAGCUGCAGUAAUUUAACUGUACAAAGGUAGCAUAAUAAUUAGUCUUUUAAUUGAGGUCUAGAAUGAAUGGUUUAACAAGAAGAUUACUUUAUUAGUUUAAUUAAGUUUAAUUUAAUUUUUUAGUUAAAAAGCUAAAAUAAUUAAUUGGGACGAUAAGACCCUAUAGAUCUUAAAUUUUUUUUUUUAAAUUUAAUGUAUUUAGUUAAUUUAACUAAUUUAAAUUAAAAAUUUUAGUUGGGGUGAUUUGAAAAUUUUUAAAACUUUUUAAUAUUAUUUACAUUUAUAAUUGAAUUUUUUUUUGAUCUUUAUUUUUUGAUUAUUAGAUUAAGAUACCUUAGGGAUAACAGCGUGAUAAAUUUGGGUAGUUCAUAUUGAUAAAUUUUGAUUACGACCUCGAUGUUGAAUUAAUUUAAAGUUUUGAAGGAGAAAUUGAAUAUUUUAGGUCUGUUCGACCUUUAAUUAAUUACA
Molecule: ribosomal RNA, 475 nt
Filed under: Bambusiphaga hainanensis
Lineage: Eukaryota; Metazoa; Arthropoda; Insecta; Hemiptera; Delphacidae
Description: partial 16S ribosomal RNA
Source: RNAcentral